RNAcentral lists this ribosomal RNA (492 nucleotides) under uncultured bacterium. Its description in RNAcentral is "partial 16S ribosomal RNA". It matches the Rfam family "Bacterial small subunit ribosomal RNA", at positions 29 to 507 of the family's 1533-position model. The record is from RNAcentral.
AGUGAACGCUGGCGGUAGGCCUAACACAUGCAAGUCGAACGGCAGCACAGUAAGAGCUUGCUCUUACGGGUGGCGACUGGCGGACGGGUGAGGCAUACAUCGGAAUCUUCUUUUUCGUGGGGGAUAACGUAGGGACACUUACGCUAAUACCGCAUACGACCUACGGGUGAAAGCAGGGGAUCUUCGGACCUUGCGCGAUUGAAUGAGCCGAUGUCGGAUUAGCUAGUUGGCUAGGUAAAGGCACACCAAGGCGACGAUGCGUAGCUGGUCUGAGAGGAUGAUCAGCCACACUGGAACUGAGACACGGUCCAGACUCCUACGGGAGGCAGCAGUAGGGAAUAUUGGACAAUGGGCGCAAGCCUGAUCCAGCCAUACCGCGUGAGUGAAGAAGGUCUUCGGGUUGUAAAGCCCUGUUGUUGGGAAAGAAAAGCAGUAGGUUAAUACCCCGCUGUUCUGACGGUACCCAAAGAAUAAGCACCGGCUAACUUCGUG